AGUGAACGCUGGCGGUAGGCCUAACACAUGCAAGUCGAACGGCAGCACAGUAAGAGCUUGCUCUUACGGGUGGCGGGUGGCGGACGGGUGAGGAAUACAUCGGAAUCUACUUUUUCGUGGGGGAUAACGUAGGGAAACUUACGCUAAUACCGCAUACGACCUACGGGUGAAAGCAGGGGAUCUUCGGACCUUGCGCGAUUGAAUGAGCCGAUGUCGGAUUAGCUAGUUGGCGGGGUAAAGGCCCACCAAGGCGACGAUCCGUAGCUGGUCUGAGAGGAUGAUCAGCCACACUGGAACUGAGACACGGUCCAGACUCCUACGGGAGGCAGCAGUGGGGAAUAUUGGACAAUGGGCGCAAGCCUGAUCCAGCCAUACCGCGUGGGUGAAGAAGGCCUUCGGGUUGUAAAGCCCUUUUGUCGGGAAAGAAAAGCAGCAGGUUAAUACCCCGCUGUUCUGACGGUACCCAAAGAAUAAGCACCGGCUAACUUCGUG
RNAcentral lists this ribosomal RNA (492 nucleotides) under uncultured bacterium. Its description in RNAcentral is "partial 16S ribosomal RNA". It matches the Rfam family "Bacterial small subunit ribosomal RNA", at positions 29 to 507 of the family's 1533-position model. The record is from RNAcentral.